Molecule: ribosomal RNA, 245 nt
Filed under: uncultured Lachnospiraceae bacterium
Lineage: Bacteria; Bacillati; Bacillota; Clostridia; Lachnospirales; Lachnospiraceae
Description: partial 16S ribosomal RNA
Rfam family: Bacterial small subunit ribosomal RNA
Source: RNAcentral
UACGUAGGGGGCAAGCGUUAUCCGGAUUUACUGGGUGUAAAGGGAGCGUAGACGGGACGCCAAGUCUGAUGUGAAAUCCCACGGCUCAACCGUGGAACUGCAUUGGAAACUGGCGACCUGGAGUACCGGAGGGGUGAGCGGAAUUCCUGGUGUAGCGGUGAAAUGCGCAGAUAUCAGGAAGAACACCGGCGGCGAAGGCGGCUCACUGGACGGUAACUGACGUUGAGGCUCGAAAGCGUGGGUAG